UGCGGUGGCGAUAUCGAGGGUGCAACUCUCCAUCCCAUACCGAACUGGACAGAGAAACCCCUUCGAGCCUAUGGUACUUCGUCUUAAGGCGCGGGAGAGUCGGUUACUGCCGCAU
Molecule: ribosomal RNA, 115 nt
Filed under: Rickettsiales bacterium
Lineage: Bacteria; Pseudomonadati; Pseudomonadota; Alphaproteobacteria; Rickettsiales
Source: RNAcentral